RNAcentral lists this long non-coding RNA (1745 nucleotides) under Lactuca sativa (garden lettuce). Its description in RNAcentral is "long non-coding RNA (LSAT_LNC005524)". The record is from RNAcentral. Lineage: Eukaryota; Viridiplantae; Streptophyta; Magnoliopsida; Asterales; Asteraceae.
AUCGCUUCUAUUUCUAGAAGGAACAGAUAAACUUCGACUCAUAUGCUUGUUCUACUACUUGUUGAAUUGUACACAAAGGCACGUUUUAUAACAUCAAGUUACUGAUGCGUUUACGUGCAAUCAAUGCACAACCAACUCAUAGGUAACAACUCAUAUCUCUAGGUUUGAAGAUUUAUAUGAUAUUACCGUCUCACGAUCACUCGAGAUAAAUUCCAUGAAGUGAUACAAGUGAGCGUGGGUUUAUUCCAAUACUCAUAACUUAUGAGCACUCAUGAAUGUUGUAGCAACCAUCGCCAUGACUAAACUCAUUUAGCCAUCUACAAACCCGAUUCAUGACAGUCUUGAUUCAUACCUACUUCCAACAUAUGAACGACUGUGGAGUGUUUAAAUAACUUAGUCAUUCAGAAAGAAUAAGCUAGCUAUUUUGGAAGUCAAAACAUGCAAAGUGAAACACUAUAAUAAUCGAAUCUAAUAUUGUCUCAGAACCCUUCUGAAUAUAAAUAAAACCACCUUUCAUUUAUCACCAUAUUGAUUACACAUUAUUCAAUGUUUCAAAUAAUCAACUUAAGACUUGAAUAAAACAAUAUUUAUCCCAUGCUCCUAGCAUGUACACUUUGUUUUUCUAAACAAUAGUUAUGCCAUAUUUCAAGUAUGUAUAAUAAUCGAAUCUAAUAUUGUCUCAGAACCCUUCUGAAUAUAAAUAAAACCACCUUUCAUUUAUCACCAUAUUGAUUACACAUUAUUCAAUGUUUCAAAUAAUCAACUUAAGACUUGAAUAAAACAAUAUUUAUCCCAUGCUCCUAGCAUGUACACUUUGUUUUUCUAAACAAUAGUUAUGCCAUAUUUCAAGUAUGCACACUAUGUUUGUCUAUGAUCCUUAAAUUGUGAUGUAGAUCAAUUGAACAUCAUUCCAUUGAUACUCAUUUCACAAUCCCAAAUCCUUAUUGUAAAUGUGAGAAUCCCCGAUUCCUAUCAUUUACCAAAAAAAACUGUUAGAUUUUAAAACUUUUAUGCAAUGUUCCUCUUGUAAUGAUUAUUCACAAAGUCACCAAAACCUUGUCACCAGUCAUUACAGAGUAUUCCAAAAAAGGUCAACUUCUAUGGAACGGAAGUCUCAUAUUCAAAGUACAUUUCUUUGAACAUCCUUCUUGCAUUAAGGUUUUCUAAUCUUACAUAGAUUGAAUAACUUCCACCUAUGGAGACAUUUCCAUAGUCCCAUUUGACUAUCACUUCUGAACAAGAGUUACCUCUCUUCAGAAAAUGUCAAUAUGGUCCUACCAAAAUUAACACUAGACUUCCAAAUUCCCCUGAGUAACCAAUCUUUGGCAAACCUCAGAUUGUCCUCGACAAUUGCUUAAUCACUUUAGUCAUAUCCAGUUCUAGACUUUUCCCUCCUCAAUGCCUUAAGCAUUUGGAAAAUUUAGAAAAGAUGAAUAUUAUAGCACAUGCAAUCGAUCCUAUAUCCGAAGCAUAUGGGACAUGAUUCAUGAUGUUUGACAUAAAUACAUGAUACUAGACCAGUCUUUUGCUACAAUAUUUUUAUUUGCCAUGUUUUCAAAAUUUAACUAUGAAGAGGGAUGUCGUAAACAUAAUCGAAUUUUGAAAACGCAAUAUAUAUAGAAUUUCUUCAAGUUGAACCAUUCCAACACAAAAUUCAUAUAUAUUCUUGACUAAAGAUGAUUAAAAUCUCAAUCUAAGCUUUAAGAAUUGAAAUGAAGUAUAAUUUCCUCUCCCUUAAUUAUAGC